GCCUGAGCCCAGGAGUAAGAGGCCAGCCUGGGAAAUAUAGUAACAAAUUCAUUCAUUCUCAUUCAUUCCCCCACCCACACACACACACACACACAGCAGAUGAUCUAAAUAGAUACUUCUCAAAAGAAGAAAUACAAGCAGUCAACAAAUACAUGAGAAAAAUGCUCAAUAUCACAAUAUCAUUCAUCAUCAGAGAAAUGCAGAUCAAAACUGAAAUGGGAUACCAUCUCACCCCAGUUAAAAGGGCUUGUUAUCAAAAAAACAAAACAAAAUGCUGGCAAGGAUAUGGGGGUAAAAGGAACACUUACACAUUGUUGGUGGGAAUGUAAAUUAGUAAAAUUAUAUAGCCAUUAUGGAGAAUAGUAUGGAUGGUCCUCAAAAUGCUAAAAUUAGAUCUACCAUAUGAUCCAGCAAUUCCACUCCAAGGUAUGUAUUCAAAGGAAGUGAAUUCAGCAUACCAAAGAAAUACCUACACAUUCAUGUUUAUUGUGGUAUAAUUCAUAUUAGCCAAGAUAUGGAAUCAGCCUUGGUGCCAUCAACAUGUGAAUAAAUAAAAUAUGGUGUGUGUAUGUGUGUGUGUGUGUGCGCACACACUCACACACACACAAAAUGGAGUAUUAUUCAGCCAUAAAGAAGAAUGAAAUCCUGUCAUUACAGCAAAAUGGGUACAUUCAGAGGACAUUAUGUUAAGUGAAAUAAGCCAGACACAGAAAGACAAAUACUACAUGGUCUCUCUCUUAUGUGAAAGCUUAAAAAAAAAAGUCACCUGAAAGUAGAAUAGUGAUUACUAGAGACUGGGAAGGGGAGGAUGGAAGAAAAGGGAUUGGUUGUGAUCAGUGCAUGCUGUUUGCAUGUAUGAAGAUACCAUGCUGAACAUCUUUUCCAAAAUGGUUCUGCCCCAAGAUUGUGUUCACUUUGCUUCACCAGCAGUUCCCAUAAUUACUUGGACACAGAGUACAUCAUCACUGUGUCUGUCACCUGCUAAUGUUUUCUUACUCAUGCUCUCUGCAAGAUGUUUUGGAGAAACUUCUGGAGAGAACUUUGCCCUAC
This 1050-nucleotide long non-coding RNA is filed under the name Marmota monax (woodchuck). The record is from RNAcentral. Lineage: Eukaryota; Metazoa; Chordata; Mammalia; Rodentia; Sciuridae.